Vicugna pacos (alpaca) is the source of this 384-nucleotide non-coding RNA. Lineage: Eukaryota; Metazoa; Chordata; Mammalia; Artiodactyla; Camelidae. The record is from the annotation of a RefSeq genome assembly.
GGCGACACUGUAGAGAUGAACUCCUCUCCAGUCUUAGUGACUAUGGUACUCUUAAUGCUUGGACGAACCCGUGGAGACUCAGUGAUGCAGACGGAAGGCCCAGUGGCCCUUUCAGAAUCAUCUGCCCUGACUAUCAACUGCAAUUAUUCAGCUGCGGGAUACCCCACUCUUUUCUGGUACGUCCAGUACCCCGGAGAAGGUCCACAGCUCCUCCUGAAAGCCUCAAGGGACAAGGAUAAGGUACUCAAGAAAGGUUUUGAAGCCACAUACCACAGAGAACAAACUUCCUUCCACUUGGAGAAAGCCUCAGUCCAAGAGUCAGACUCGGCCGUGUACUACUGUGCUCUGAGUGACACAGUGACAGGAGCUGGGAGGGGGAGCUGA